UGGGGAAUAUUGGACAAUGGGCGCAAGCCUGAUCCAGCCAUGCCGCGUGAGUGAUGAAGGCCCUAGGGUUGUAAAGCUCUUUCACCGUUGAAGAUAAUGACGGUAACCGGAGAAGAAGCCCCGGCUAACUUCGUGCCAGCAGCCGCGGUAAUACGAAGGGGGCUAGCGUUGUUCGGAUUUACUGGGCGUAAAGCGCACGUAGGCGGACUAUUAAGUCAGGGGUGAAAUCCCGGGGCUCAACCCCGGAACUGCCUUUGAUACUGGUAGUCUUGAGUUCGAGAGAGGUGAGUGGAAUUCCGAGUGUAGAGGUGAAAUUAGUAGAUAUUCGGAGGAACACCAGUGGCGAAGGCGGCUAACUGGCUAGAUACUGACGCUGAGGUGCGAAAGCGUGGGGAGCAAACAGG
This 404-nucleotide ribosomal RNA is filed under the name Actinomycetes bacterium. Its description in RNAcentral is "Actinobacteria bacterium partial 16S ribosomal RNA". It matches the Rfam family "Bacterial small subunit ribosomal RNA", at positions 355 to 776 of the family's 1533-position model. The record is from RNAcentral. Lineage: Bacteria; Bacillati; Actinomycetota; Actinomycetes.